Molecule: ribosomal RNA, 500 nt
Filed under: uncultured bacterium
Lineage: Bacteria
Description: bacterial SSU rRNA
Rfam family: Bacterial small subunit ribosomal RNA
Source: RNAcentral
UGCUGGUACCGCGACCUACUGGAGAGCGGGUGAGGGCUGCUGCUGACUACUGCCUAUGUACUAGAGGCGACAACAUCCCCGAAAGGUAAUUGCUAAUACCGCGUACGCCCUACGGGGGCAAAGCAGGGGAUCUUCGGACCUUGCAGCUAAUAGAUGAGCCUAAGUCAGAUUAGCUAGUUGGUGGGGUAAAGGCCUACCAAGGCGACGAUCUGUAGCGGGUCUGAGAGGAUGAUCCGCCACACUGGGACUGAGACACGGCCCAGACUCCUACGGGAGGCAGCAGUGGGGAAUAUUGGACAAUGGGCGAAAGCCUGAUCCAGCCAUGCCGCGUGUGUGAAGAAGGCCUUUUGGUUGUAAAGCACUUUAAGCGAGGAGGAGGCUACUGAGAUUAAUACUCUUGGAUAGUGGACGUUCUCGCAGAAUAAGCACCGGCUAACUCUGUGCCAGCAGCCGCGGUAAUACAGAGGGUGCGAGCGUUAAUCGGAUUUACUGGGCGUAAA